This 569-nucleotide ribosomal RNA is filed under the name uncultured bacterium. Its description in RNAcentral is "partial 16S ribosomal RNA". It matches the Rfam family "Bacterial small subunit ribosomal RNA", at positions 356 to 918 of the family's 1533-position model. The record is from RNAcentral.
UGGGGAAUUUGGACAAUGGGCGAAAGCCUGAUCCAGCAAUGCCGCGUGUGUGAAGAAGGCCUUCGGGUUGUAAAGCACUUUUGUCCGGAAAGAAAUCCUUGGCUCUAAUACAGUCGGGGGAUGACGGUACCGGAAGAAUAAGCACCGGCUAACUACGUGCCAGCAGCCGCGGUAAUACGUAGGGUGCAAGCGUUAAUCGGAAUUACUGGGCGUAAAGCGUGCGCAGGCGGUUUGCUAAGACCGAUGUGAAAUCCCCGGGCUCAACCUGGGAACUGCAUUGGUGACUGGCAGGCUAGAGUAUGGCAGAGGGGGGUAGAAUUCCACGUGUAGCAGUGAAAUGCGUAGAGAUGUGGAGGAAUACCGAUGGCGAAGGCAGCCCCCUGGGCCAAUACUGACGCUCAUGCACGAAAGCGUGGGGAGCAAACAGGAUUAGAUACCCUGGUAGUCCACGCCCUAAACGAUGUCAACUAGUUGUUGGGGAUUCAUUUCCUUAGUAACGUAGCUAACGCGUGAAGUUGACCGCCUGGGGAGUACGGUCGCAAGAUUAAAACUCAAAGGAAUUGACGGGG